Molecule: ribosomal RNA, 496 nt
Filed under: uncultured bacterium
Lineage: Bacteria
Description: partial 16S ribosomal RNA
Rfam family: Bacterial small subunit ribosomal RNA
Source: RNAcentral
GAUGAACGCUGGCGGCGUGCCUAAUACAUGCAAGUCGAGCGAACGGACGAGAAGCUUGCUUUUCUGAUGUUAGCGGCGGACGGGUGAGUAACACGUGGAUAACCUACCUAUAAGACUGGGAUAACUUCGGGAAACCGGAGCUAAUACCGGAUAAUAUUUUGAACCGCAUGGUUCAAAAGUGAAAGACGGUCUUGCUGUCACUUAUAGAUGGAUCCGCGCUGCAUUAGCUAGUUGGUAAGGUAACGGCUUACCAAGGCAACGAUGCAUAGCCGACCUGAGAGGUUGAUCGGCCACACGGAAACUGAGACACGGCCCAGACCCCAACGGGAGGCAGCAGUGGGGAAUCUUCCGAAAGGGGCGAAAGCCUGCCGGGGCAACGCCGCGUGGGUGAUGAGGUUCUUCGGAUCGUAAACCCCUGUUAUUAGGGAAGAACAUAUGUGUAAGUAACUGUGCACAUCCGAACGGUACCUAACCAGAAGGCCACGCUAAACUCCGG